Molecule: ribosomal RNA, 400 nt
Filed under: uncultured bacterium
Lineage: Bacteria
Description: bacterial SSU rRNA
Rfam family: Bacterial small subunit ribosomal RNA
Source: RNAcentral
UGGGGAAUAUUGCACAAUGGGGGAAACCCUGAUGCAGCCAUGCCGCGUGUGUGAAGAAGGCCUUCGGGUUGUAAAGCACUUUCAGUGGGGAGGAAAGGUGUGUGGCGAAUACCCGCGCACUGUGACGUUACCCACAGAAGAAGCACCGGCUAACUCCGUGCCAGCAGCCGCGGUAAUACGGAGGGUGCAAGCGUUAAUCGGAAUGACUGGGCGUAAAGCGCACGCAGGCGGUCUGUUAAGCCAGAUGUGAAAGCCCCGGGCUCAACCUGGGAACUGCAUUUGGAACUGGCAGGCUAGAGUCUUGGAGAGGGGGGUAGAAUUUCCGGUGUAGCGGUGAAAUGCGUAGAGAUCGGAAGGAAUACCAGUGGCGAAGGCGGCCCCCUGGCCAAAGACUGACGCU